GGAAAAGACUACCGCUCACCUAGAAUGUGAAUGAGGAGAAGCUUUCCCAGAGCUGUCCAUUCUUAAUUUCCUGUGGUCGGCCUGUUAGGAGCAUUGCUGCUGAAAAGCCAAUACGAUCUGUGUUGCUGUUCCGAAACAAAUGCAUUUUUACCUGCUGGCUGAGGAAAUAUAACUUGCUGAAGGCAGUUACCUUUGUUCAAAGCCAACUGAGACAGCACCAGCCCUCAGUAAUUACAGCCAUACGAUUUCCAGGAGACUCCUCCUUCACCAGACCUGUCGUCUCAUGUCCCCAUUUGUAACGCUGUUCAUUAUAUUCAACCUGCUGCCGUCACUCUGGAGCUUUCAAAAGGUAUUCUGUGGGCUAUCGUGCUGCAGGAUGUGGAUAAUGAAACAGUUCGACGUGACUUGUAUUAUAAUGGGCUCACCUAACUUUCAUGCAGCUUGAAAAGUAGACUUAAUAAAAGCCAGAGUGAAAGGCAUUUUAUGUUUUUAAUAAGGAGUCUCAUAUGGUCUAACCUGCUGUUUUUCAUUGUGUGUCUCUUCUCACGGUCUCCUUUUGAGGUACCUGCCAGAAGAAGAACACUGAAUGUCUCUUAAUCUUAACGCUUUUUGGGAAAGUGCAGUGGUAAUCAACACUCAUGAUCAGUAAUUUCCAACUGCAGUAACAGUGACUUAAAGUUACAUCUUGGCUAUUAAAUGGGUCAUUAUUUAUUUGCUGGUAAAGAUGGUCCUCUUCAUCAAGCCCCAAAUAUCUGCACACUCCAGAACAAAGCAUCUGUUUAAUCACUGGUGAGCAAAUUUCUUAGUAUCUGAUUAUAAGCCUGUAAAACUUUCCUCUACCCUUGCAGUGCCUCAAGUUGGACUGUAAAGGGGCUAAAGGAGUUUGUGCUGCUCUGUCCUGAGGCAGGAUGGAGCCGUGCUCCAUGUAAAGCUUUACACAUUCCUGGAAGUGUAAUGAAUGGAGACAAGAUCAAACAACAGAACCUGAGACCUGAAUGUGACAAGAGCGCUGAAAAACAGCUUCCAGAACCAGAACUCUUUAUUGCAGUGCUGUAACCUUCUGUUUUUUAUUGACUAUACAGUCAUUGUUAAAGCUGCUCCAGGGAAGAUCCAUCUGUGCUGUUGCAGACCUGGAUGAGCAUGGGCACCACAGCAUAGAAGACCACCUUUGCAGAAGAGGCUGCAUGCUCACGAGUUCCCCCCGCUACGAGCUUUUUCCUCUUCCGUUCUUACCUGCCCUGUAGCUCGACCCCUUCCUGGAGGGAGGUUUCUUUCAUUGAAUGCAGACAGCAUCGUGCUGGAAUGGGUAAGGUGAUGUGCUCCUUUCACUGUGAUAUCAAAGACCAAGGCCGUAGCAGAAGGAGAAGAAGAGGAAAAGGAAAUGAAAAGGACAAAAAGACAUUGACCCAAUGUCACAAAACAUAGCUGGCAUGAUGUUUGUCAUGGGCACAACGCUGACACUGCCUGGCUUCUUACAUGAACUUCGCAGAGCACAGGGUCAUCUUGUCCCUAGG
Long non-coding RNA from Pezoporus occidentalis (night parrot), 1514 nucleotides. RefSeq lists it as uncharacterized. NCBI's taxonomy places the organism in Eukaryota, Metazoa, Chordata, Aves, Psittaciformes, Psittacidae. The record is from RefSeq and is a predicted model, not a curated record. The transcript is spliced from 4 exons.